GAGUUUGAUCUUGGCUCAGAACGAACGCUGGCGGCGUGGAUAAGACAUGCAAGUCGAACGGGAGAAUUGCUAGCUUGCUAAUAAUUCUCUAGCGGCGCACGGGUGAGUAACACGUGAGUAACCUGCCCCCGAGAGGCGGGAUAGCCCCGGGAAACUGGGAUUAAUACCGCAUAGUAUCGAAAGAUUAAAGCAGCAAUGCGCUUGGGGAUGGGCUCGCGGCCUAUUAGUUAGUUGGUGAGGUAACGGCUCACAAGGCGAUGACGGGUAGCCGGUCUGAGAGGAUGUCCGGCCACACUGGAACUGAGACACGGUCCAGACACCUACGGGUGGCAGCAGUCGAGAAUCAUUCACAAUGGGGGGAAACCCUGAUGGUGCGGACGCCGCGUGGGGGAAUGAAGGUCUUCGGAUUGUAAACCCCUGUCAUGUGGGAGCAAAUUAAAAAGAUAGUACCACAAGAGGAAGAGACGGCUAACUCUGUGCCAGCCG
RNAcentral lists this ribosomal RNA (486 nucleotides) under uncultured microorganism. RNAcentral's name for it is "bacterial SSU rRNA". It matches the Rfam family "Bacterial small subunit ribosomal RNA", at positions 9 to 514 of the family's 1533-position model. The record is from RNAcentral.